This 714-nucleotide long non-coding RNA is filed under the name Phoenix dactylifera (date palm). RNAcentral describes it as "long non-coding RNA (PDAC_LNC019083)". Lineage: Eukaryota; Viridiplantae; Streptophyta; Magnoliopsida; Arecales; Arecaceae. The record is from RNAcentral.
CUCUUUUGUUUUCUUUUUUGACCACAGAAUCUUGUAUUAAUUUUGAAUAUUAAUAGCUUUGAAUAAAUAUAGUACUUUAUGUUUGACGAGAUUUUCACUGCUGUUCUCUGGAGCUGAUUGAUUUCUGUUUCUGAGAUUUUAUUUCAUGAAGUUAGUGUUGAUUGCAUGAAUGCAUCCAAUGUUUUUUCUGGUGGUGUCUCUGAUGUUCUUUGUCUUAUCUGGUUCUAUUGUCACUGUUCUUGGAUAGAGCAGAUUCAUGGUUGCUUGAUUUCAGAUUCCCUGCAGCAACUAAAAUCAGUUAGCAGAAAUCAUAUUAGGGUUACAUCAACUUUCAUGCCGCUGUUCUUUUUUAAUUUACAUAGAUAUUUUAGGAUUUAUAAUCUUACCUUUGUUUAAGAAAAACACUAAGAUGUUACUAUCUCUUGAUUAUAUAUAUGUCUAGUUUCUUUGUGUAUUAUAGUGCUAUUUCAAAUGAUUGAAGCUCUAAUUUUGUGAAAAUAUUACAAUUUUUUGGUGUAAUUUUUAAUUUAUUUACGUGGCAUCGUUAUUUGGUGUAUUAUACUGUAUAACAUUUCUGAAUAUGCUUAUGUACCUUAUUUUCUUAAAUCAUUAUAAAUUCAACCAUGAUCAAGAAGCUUGAAAUGAAUCAUGAUCAUGGACUUGGACUAUCCACUUUGUUAUCUUUAGUUGUUGUAGAGUCACCGAUAUCCAUCG